RNAcentral lists this long non-coding RNA (470 nucleotides) under Fukomys damarensis (Damara mole-rat). RNAcentral's name for it is "lncRNA (ENSFDAG00000024452.1)". The record is from RNAcentral. Lineage: Eukaryota; Metazoa; Chordata; Mammalia; Rodentia; Bathyergidae.
GAAGGUUAGCAUUUAAAGGUACCUUUCAGUUUGUGGCUUUUCAAAGGGAGACCCUGAGCCGGCAAGGACCAUGCCCAAAGACACCCACGGAGCUCACAGGGCAGCUGGAAAGCAAGCCAGAGGCCCAGGCAGGGCUUUUCCUAGAGACCUGUGAUCAUCUUGCUCUUUUCUCUGUGGAACAAAGGCCAAAAUUGCUGCCCUGUGGUGAAUCUGACCCAGGACCUGCUAUAUCCCUUUGCUGUAGGAGCAGCACUGGGUGCACCGUGAAAGCCUCUGUGAGAGUGAAAACACUGGGCCAGCAGAAAAACCAUGGCAGUCUUCCGGGGCUGAGAGCGCGCAGGACGGAAACGUCUGUACUUCUGCUUGCAAAGCAUCGACUCUUCAGCAUCCAGGCAAAGUCACCCUUCAUCAUCACUUCAGGGGAGUUUUCUUUGUGCCCCAAUGGGACAAAUGCCUCAGGAGGACAAUGA